This 1133-nucleotide long non-coding RNA is filed under the name Equus caballus (horse). RNAcentral describes it as "lncRNA (ENSECAG00000046228.1)". The record is from RNAcentral. Lineage: Eukaryota; Metazoa; Chordata; Mammalia; Perissodactyla; Equidae.
UUUUACUCAGAUCAGUGUUGGGUGUCAUCUGUCCCCCUCUGCAUGGUAAGCACCACAAGGACAAAGGCUUUGUUUGGUCCUCUACCGUUUCCCUGUCAACUGGGCCAGCAUCUGACACCUGGCAGUUCUUGGGAAAUACCUGCACACGAAUGGAGGCAAGGCCUCUCUCCAGAGGAGGACGCUGAAGAGGUGAAAAGUGAGCCUCCUGCUCUCCCUUUGAGGCAAUUUGGCAUAGCCUGGGUUCUCAGAUCAGACGGAAGUGGGUUCAGUUCUUGGCUCGGAGCGACCUUAGACCGCUGGUUGAAAUCCUUCUGGGCCUGUUCCUGCCUCUGGACAGUGGGAAUGUACUGAGACUACCUCUCAGGAUUGCCACUACAGGAGGCGAGAGGGACACCUAACCUCAUCUCCGCUGGGCACAGAGACGGCUUCUCAGAAGAAGCGAUAUCUACACAAAGUCCUAAAGACCAAGGGGUCAGGCACAGCACUGAGUGCUGGAGAUGCAAGAAUCCAUCCAACCAACGCAGGCAGAUGGCAACAAGUGCCAGGAGGAACACACAUCAGGGCAAGGGGAGAGGCGUCCCUGGCUGUGGCUGGCGAAGGGUAAUGGCAAGUGUCUCAUUGAACAUGGAGCCGUGUGGGCAUUUGAGUCCCGGAAGGGGCCAGCCUGGGAGUCCUGAGUCUCUUGUGGUGACCAACAUAAAUAAAGAUAAAGGUGCUUCUGCUUCCUCUUCCCUUCCUGGGCAAGUCAGCCUUAAAGCUGUCGAGUGGGUCAGAACAAGGUCGGCAUCUGUGCAGGGAGAGGGAAGCACAGUCGCCCAAGGGGGUCAGAGUCCAAGCAGGACGACAAGGGUGUCCCUGCAAGAUGGUAGCCUGGCCUGGAGCGUCUGAGGCUGAUGGCAGGUGUCAGGGACCCAGCCGGAGGAGGAAGGCAUGCAUUUGUGCAGGCUGUGAGCCUGGAGACGCAGGGUCUGAGCAGGGAGGAGGUGGUCCCCAUGGAAGGGUGGCCAGGCAUGGGUAUCAGCCCCAGCAGGGUGAGGAGAACAUCCGCUCGUAGGGCAGCCUGGUGUAGGAGGAAGAGAACCUCCACGAAGGGGCGUCUGAGCCCGAGGAGCGUGAGCAGGGCAACACGUGGG